Molecule: ribosomal RNA, 450 nt
Filed under: uncultured bacterium
Lineage: Bacteria
Description: partial 16S ribosomal RNA
Rfam family: Bacterial small subunit ribosomal RNA
Source: RNAcentral
GUGGGGAAUCUUCCGCAAUGGACGAAAGUCUGACGGAGCAACGCCGCGUGAGUGAAGAAGGUUUUCGGAUCGUAAAGCUCUUUCGUUAGGGACGAACGUGCUCUUUGUAAAUAAUGAGGAGUAAUGACGGUACCUAAAUAAGAAGCCACGGCUAACUACGUGCCAGCAGCCGCGGUAAUACGUAGGUGGCAAGCGUUGUCCGGAAUUAUUGGGCGUAAAGCGCGCGCAGGCGGGAUAUCAAGUCUGUCUUAAAAGUGCGAGGCUCAACCUCGUGAGGGGACAGAAACUGGUAUUCUUGAGUGUCGGAGAGGAAAGUGGAAUUCCAAGUGUAGCGGUGAAAUGCGUAGAGAUUUGGAAGAACACCAGUGGCGAAGGCGACUUUCUGGACGAUGUCUGACGCUGAGGCGCGAAAGCUAGGGGAGCGAACGGGAUUAGAAACCCGUGUAGUCC